RNAcentral lists this ribosomal RNA (691 nucleotides) under Mesomycoplasma hyorhinis. RNAcentral's name for it is "bacterial SSU rRNA". It matches the Rfam family "Bacterial small subunit ribosomal RNA", at positions 137 to 814 of the family's 1533-position model. The record is from RNAcentral. Lineage: Bacteria; Bacillati; Mycoplasmatota; Mycoplasmoidales; Metamycoplasmataceae.
ACUGGGAUAACUAUUGGAAACAAUAGCUAAUACCGGAUAUAGUUAUUUAUCGCAUGAUGAGUAAUAGAAAGGAGCUUCACAGCUUCACUUAAAAAUGGGGGUGCGGAACAUUAGUUAGUUGGUAGGGUAAUGGCCUACCAAGACGAUGAUGUUUAGCCGGGCCGAGAGGCUGUACGGCCACACUGGGACUGAGAUACGGCCCAGACUCCUACGGGAGGCAGCAGUAAGGAAUUUUCCACAAUGAGCGAAAGCUUGAUGGAGCGACACAGCGUGCAGGAUGAAGUUCUUCGGAAUGUAAACUGCUGUUAUAAGGGAAGAAAAAAUAGAAUAGGAAAUGAUUUUAUCUUGACGGUACCUUAUUAGAAAGCGACGGCAAACUAUGUGCCAGCAGCCGCGGUAAUACAUAGGUCGCAAGCGUUAUCCGGAAUUAUUGGGCGUAAAGCGUCCGUAGGUUUUUUGCUAAGUCUGGAGUUAAAUGCUGAAGCUCAACUUCAGUCCGCUUUGGAUACUGGCAAAAUAGAAUUAUAAAGAGGUUAGCGGAAUUCCUAGUGAAGCGGUGGAAUGCGUAGAUAUUAGGAAGAACACCAAUAGGCGAAGGCAGCUAACUGGUUAUAUAUUGACACUAAGGGACGAAAGCGUGGGGAGCAAACAGGAUUAGAUACCCUGGUAGUCCACGCCGUAAACGAUGAUC